CUGGGAUCAAAGAAAGGCAUGUGCCACCACCGCCCAGCCUAAAAUAAAUUUUCAAAAUGCUGUGUCAUCUGACUGAAGAGUUGUUCCUAGCAGUUCAGUGCCCUCCCUGAGCCCUGGAGCCUGUUAUACUCAGCUAAGUAUGUGGAGAGCAGCUUUUGAAGGUGGGCAUGGCGUGUGUGCCCAACUCUGGAUCACUCACCGUCUUGACUACGCUCAUACACAUAGCUUGUGUGGACUAACUGUUGCCACAGACACGUGAGGGAAUCCGUGGUGAGUGUCCCCUCUGGUGCUCCACCCCAUGUCGUCCCUGAAACUGUUCCUAACACGUGCAGAUGCAUUAGCUUUUGGUGACAAAGGCUGUCUUCUUUUUUGUCCACGGACGCUGGGGAGUAAGUCAAGGAAUCUUCAGAGCCCUGGGGCACAGCACAAGGCAGGAAGCAACUUCUGCAGAGCCCCGGAGAGGAGACAUGCCUUCCUGGUUACUGUCAGGCACCCUGGUGCACCGGACUCCCCCUGUUGUAUAAUCGACUGUCACCUCAGCGAUUCUCAACAUCAGGCUUCCCAAUACCAGAUUGAACAUUAAACAAACAGUGACUGCUUUAUAAAUAUUUAACUCCCACUGUUUAGGAAUUGCUUGGGGCAGGAGACAAAAUAAGAGUUCCUGACUGUCUACCGACCGCAUGACUCUCUGUCGUGGUGUUGGACAGUGGGGGUCAGAGCUGGGGGCGGAUAGCUCAGAGGCAGCGGUACAGCUUCCCGUGUUUGGGGGUGUGUGCCCGGGGACGUGUGUGUUUGCACUCAUCAAACUGUUUAAAUCUAUUCUAGAGUCAGCAUCCCAUCCAGCUGGGACCUGCAUUUUCUGGUGUUAUUGCUAUAGUCCAGUGACAGCUGUCUUUAUUCUCGCUUCCUUUUACCCUUCUCUCUUUCUUCCCUCCCCACCCCAGCCUCCUCCAACCAUGGAGGAUUGAACCUAAGGCCUGGAAAAGCAAGACAACCACUCUAUUGUAGAUCCCCGGCCCCUUCAUUUUAAAAUAUGGCAGUUUUAUUGAGAUAUAAGUCACACACUGCCCAAUCCUUCCAUACAAUAGUAUGACCUUUGGGGACAGUAACACUCUAGUUGAAAGAUGAAGACAUGGCUGACCUAGUCUUGUGUGAUGAAGGCAAAGCUGACUUCACAAGGAAGACCCUCUGCCACGCCGGAAAGAUCUAGAAGGUCAUACUUAGGCAUGUGGUGGAUGUAAGUUCUCUUCAGUGGAUAAACCGUGAGCUUUACUUAGUGCUAACUGUGUGCCGAGCAAGGCCGGGUUCAUCUGCAGUGUUAUAUAAUCCCGCUGAAGGAUGGCCUCCCAGAGGCUGCUCUGUUUUAGACUUGUUUGGAUGGGAGACUAGGAGAUGUCAGGGUCCUUGGCUGAUGAAUUUUGUUUAGGAGAGAAGCAUGAGGAGGUGUGGCUUCUUGUCCUCCUCACCGCCCGCAGGCCACUGCAUGGCCUAGUUCUCUUCUUGCCUGUGUGCUGGUGACCCCCUGGGCACUGGUUCCUUGGCACCCACAGAGAGACAGGCCGAAUCUAUAGGGAAGCUCAAGAGUUGACCCUAGUGCCUCCCUAUCACCUCAGUCACUUAGCUUCACCAAGGUGCUUCAGAGCAAGGUGCUGUGAAGGCCUGCACCAGAUGCCCGUGCUGGGCAGCACACUACGCCCAGAUGCCAAAAUUCCCGGCAUCCGUCCUCUGGAGAGAUAAGUUUUGUUUGGGAAAUUGCAUAUCAGAGCUGACUCAGGACCAAGAAGGCUGUGCCUUCCUACCCACCCACUCCAUCCCAUCCCAGAGCGGGCCUCCCUGCUCCUCAGCUUCCAGCACUCCUGCAGACAGAGUCCCCCUUCUCGGUCCCAUCGGAUGACUGUGUCUGGAGAUCUCUGACCUCCUGCCCUUCUCACUCCUAGGCCAGAGAGCUUCCUGGGUUGCCCUGAGCUGGCAUGAGAAGAUGCUGGGAUCGACUUGGCUGGGUUGAAACGAGAGGCUCCGGAGACAGGCAGGCUGCUCCAUCCCUCCCUAAGCCGUAAACCACGCUCCACCAUCUUGCCUCCGUGCCAUUAAAGAACGGUGAAGCUGAGGCUGCUGUCACGUCACCUUUGACUUAGAUGGCUGACUUUCUUCCAGGAAACUUUCCCCGUCACAUCUCUCACUGUGUAACCGUGCAGAGGGAAAAAGACGAAUGAAGGUAGACCGCGAGGGUUUGUCACGAGGAAAUACCUGACAGCUCACAUGAGGGAGAUAGGCUGCGAUGGAAAGGCCUGAUAAAUCUAGACGAAGCGAGGUCACAGAGCUCAUGAAGGGUGCUGGAACAGGACCAGAAAGAAGGAGUCUGGAGAGUGUGGGGACCAGAGGUGACGGAAUCUGGACAGUUAGGAAAGCUUGAGUGGUGAUUGACAGAUGUCAGUCACACAGUAGGGUUAGGGUUAGGUUUUACCUCGAAGUACACUCCCAGGGUCCUCGAGGUGGAAAUCUACACUUGGCACACUCGGGUAGCAUCAGGUCAGGUUCUCUGCUGACGUGGCAUGGGGAAAAAGUGAUUUGUCCCACACCCCUGGAAUUUCUAAAACUUUCUAACUUUGUUCUAUAGCUUAAUAAAUAAAAUAAAACCAAUCAAUUGGAA
Non-coding RNA from Cricetulus griseus (Chinese hamster), 2650 nucleotides. Lineage: Eukaryota; Metazoa; Chordata; Mammalia; Rodentia; Cricetidae. The record is from RefSeq and is a predicted model, not a curated record.